UACAUAGGUCCCAAGCGUUGUUCGGAUUUACUGGGCGUAAAGGGUGCGUAGGUGGCGGGGUAAGUCUGGUGUGAAAGCUCCGAGCUCAACUCGGAAAAGCAUUGGAAACUAUCCCGCUUGAGGGUCGGAGGGGAGACUGGAAUUCUCGGUGUAGCAGUGAAAUGCGUAGAUAUCGAGAGGAACACCAGUGGCGAAGGCGGCUCUCUGGGCCUUUCCUGACGCUGAGACGCGAAAGCGUGGGGAGCGAACCGG
Molecule: ribosomal RNA, 252 nt
Filed under: uncultured bacterium
Lineage: Bacteria
Description: partial 16S ribosomal RNA
Rfam family: Bacterial small subunit ribosomal RNA
Source: RNAcentral